RNAcentral lists this ribosomal RNA (450 nucleotides) under Salmonella enterica subsp. enterica serovar Give. RNAcentral's name for it is "partial 23S ribosomal RNA". It matches the Rfam family "Bacterial large subunit ribosomal RNA", at positions 1 to 490 of the family's 2925-position model. The record is from RNAcentral. Lineage: Bacteria; Pseudomonadati; Pseudomonadota; Gammaproteobacteria; Enterobacterales; Enterobacteriaceae.
GGUUAAGCGACUAAGCGUACACGGUGGAUGCCCUGGCAGUCAGAGGCGAUGAAGGACGUGCUAAUCUGCGAUAAGCGCCGGUAAGGUGAUAUGAACCGUUAUAACCGGCGAUUUCCGAAUGGGGAAACCCAGUGUGACUCGUCACACUAUCAUUAACUGAAUCCAUAGGUUAAUGAGGCGAACCGGGGGAACUGAAACAUCUAAGUACCCCGAGGAAAAGAAAUCAACCGAGAUUCCCCCAGUAGCGGCGAGCGAACGGGGAGGAGCCCAGAGCCUGAAUCAGCAUGUGUGUUAGUGGAAGCGUCUGGAAAGGCGCGCGAUACAGGGUGACAGCCCCGUACACAAAAGCGCAUGUGCUGUGAGCUCGAUGAGUAGGGCGGGACACGUGGUAUCCUGUCUGAAUAUGGGGGGACCAUCCUCCAAGGCUAAAUACUCCUGACUGACCGAUAG